AGAACUCAGCCACCAUGUUGUAAGGAAGCCCAGGCAAGUGGAGUGGUCACAGGCAGGUGUUCCAGCCAACAGCCCCAGCUGAGGUCCAGCCCACAGCCAGCAUCAACCAUCAGAGGUUUCAGGAGGCCAGAAAUUGAAGAUCAAAGUAUCUGCUGGAAUUGAUCCUCUCUGGGGACUGGAAGGGAAGGAUUGGCUCCAGAUUCUGACACACUGCAGGUUAGGACUUCAGCAUGAAUUUAUUCAAGGGACACAAGUCAGCUUGUAACACCCGCCAAGCCUCCACCCACAUUGCAGACCCAUGUGCAAAAUAAAUGUGCUGGUGUUCUGGCCACUAAAAUUUGAAGUGGUUUAUUUACAUAACAAAAACACAACAAUAUGCCUAAGGUACUUGACUUAGAGA
Long non-coding RNA from Pan troglodytes (chimpanzee), 400 nucleotides. RefSeq lists it as uncharacterized. The transcript has 3 exons. The record is from RefSeq and is a predicted model, not a curated record. NCBI's taxonomy places the organism in Eukaryota, Metazoa, Chordata, Mammalia, Primates, Hominidae.